AUUUUAAUGGCAGCUGCCAGAGCUUUAUGGAGUCAUUCAUUUUAAUAGUCUGAAGGCUUUCCCAUUAUCCAGAUGCUUUCACUUCACAGCUCAGGGAGCAUGGACAACCUGUAUUUUUACUGGAAUCUGGGCUGGAAGAGAAUAGUUGUACCUCAGAAGAGGAGGCGCACCCUGAGGAAGCAGACGACCCGUGUGUGUGAAAGCCUUCCUUGUUUUUGAAAGGUACUUUAUGACCCAGGCUGCCUUCUGGAUCAGAAAGAUACUGGAAGCUGUAAAACACACAAAGCCAGGCUUUGUUAUCACCUGCAUGUACGGAAGGACACCGGUCCUGAGUGUGAGCCUCCUCGGGCCCCGGUCACGUCUCCUCCGUCUUUCCCCACCGCGGUCGCCUGGGUCCAUCCCUGGACAGAGGAUGAAGGAAGCCAGCGUGCAAGCAGGCUGCCUGGAGCCAGCUGCCCAAGCUUGGAGAAAGAAUCAGCUGAAAUGAACUGUUCCUUGAAAACGAGAGCAUUCUGGAGAAGGGAGCGAUGAGGAGGAGCUCCUACCCCCUGGGCACUGAAACCCAUCUCACCCAUGCCUGGUUCCUGUAAUGGACGAACUUGAUGCUAAUGG
RNAcentral lists this long non-coding RNA (612 nucleotides) under Sus scrofa (pig). RNAcentral's name for it is "lncRNA (ENSSSCG00015060526.1)". Lineage: Eukaryota; Metazoa; Chordata; Mammalia; Artiodactyla; Suidae. The record is from RNAcentral.